This 925-nucleotide long non-coding RNA is filed under the name Gossypium barbadense (sea-island cotton). RNAcentral's name for it is "long non-coding RNA (GBAR_LNC017926)". The record is from RNAcentral. Lineage: Eukaryota; Viridiplantae; Streptophyta; Magnoliopsida; Malvales; Malvaceae.
GGAAAUCAAACUUUAGUUUAUCCUAAAUUAUAUUCUCUUGGUCUAACUAAAUUUAUUGCAUUUUGAAGUAAUAGAAUUACUAAGUUCCAACUGAUAAAACAAUGGAAUCACUGACUCUGGAAUCACACGUUAUUCUAUAUUUGAAAAUCGAAAGUAACCCCCCAACCAACAAAUUAAUAAAGAAAAAAUGGAAGUAAAACUGCCCAUCUUCUUCAUGGCAAAUAGCGAAGCAAGAGGUAGGUAUAAAAUCCGAAAUGGCUUCCCGAACUGUUGGCCAAGUCCCCCACAAAGGACAAUCCAUCUACCAACUGAUCACGCGCAGUGCACGUGAACCCUGCAAAAACCCAUAUCAAGCCAAAUGAGUUAAGGUCCCCACCUUCUACAUGACUGAUAAAAAACCUGCAAUCCUGCAUGCAAAAAACAGCUUUGAAAAGUAGCCAUCCCCGCACCGGCUUCCUCCAUUAACACUGGCCCGAGCUUUGGCACUGCAUGCCAGUUGGUAGUGUAGCCUUAAUUAGAGCUGCCUGGUUUUGUAGUUGCAUUCAAAGCUGAGGGGUCCCACUUUCGUCUUUCCUCUCCCCUUCACAAUGCAUCCCUCUGAAGAAGAGGGUUGGCCCCAACUGUAAUUAAAGAUGAAAAAGAUGUGUUUGAGGGGUCCCUACAAAGCUGGAGAAUGGGGAGCCAAGGGAUUUGCUGCACUCCUUCCAUGAAGCAAUAUGCGAGUGAAACGUUGCUUUCAACUCUUUGUCCAUACACUUAACCACAAAGGAAUACAACUCCAACUCCAACUCCAUUUUAUAAUCUUUUUAUAUAUAUAACAUAAUAUUUAUUAUUCUCAAAUGACCGCUUUGUUUUCUAAAAAGAGAAAAUCAAACUCCAUUUCCAUUUGAGUUUGAUGAAUAGUGUUUGACUUGUGAGAGGAUUC